This 253-nucleotide ribosomal RNA is filed under the name uncultured bacterium. Its description in RNAcentral is "partial 16S ribosomal RNA". It matches the Rfam family "Bacterial small subunit ribosomal RNA", at positions 524 to 776 of the family's 1533-position model. The record is from RNAcentral.
UACGAAGGGGGCUAGCGUUGCUCGGAAUUACUGGGCGUAAAGCGCACGUAGGCGGAUCGUUAAGUCGGGGGUGAAAUCCUGGAGCUCAACUCCAGAACUGCCUUCGAUACUGGGAAGCUCGAGUCCGGGAGAGGUGAGUGGAACUGCGAGUGUAGAGGUGAAAUUCGUAGAUAUUCGCAAGAACACCAGUGGCGAAGGCGGCUCACUGGCCCGGUACUGACGCUGAGGUGCGAAAGCGUGGGGAGCAAACAGG